AUUCCAGCUCCAAUAGCGUAUAUUAAUGUUGCUGCAGUUAAAAAGCUCGUAGUUGGAUUUCUGGUAUGAUGCGCCUGGUCCGCCCCGUUUAGGUGUGUGAGUACCGGUGCGCGUCUGCCAUCCUUCUAGAGAGCGUGUCUACCCUUCACUGGGCCGGGCACGUCAUCUGGAUCGUUUACUUUGAAAAAAUUAGAGUGUUUCAAGCAGGCAUACUCGCUUUGAAUACAUUAGCAUGGAAUAAUAAGAUAGGACUUGGGUUCUAUUUUGUUGGUUUCUAGGACCGAAGUAAUGAUUGAUAGGGACAGUUGGGGGUGCUAGUAUUCCACGGCCAGAGGUGAAAUUCUUGGAUUCGUGGAAGACUAACUAAUGCGAAAGCAUUCACCAAGGAUGUCUUCAUUG
This 399-nucleotide ribosomal RNA is filed under the name Granofilosea sp. RNAcentral's name for it is "partial small subunit ribosomal RNA". It matches the Rfam family "Eukaryotic small subunit ribosomal RNA", at positions 582 to 975 of the family's 1831-position model. The record is from RNAcentral. Lineage: Eukaryota; Cercozoa.